GACAGAGGUGCCGAGCGUUAGGCGGAAUCACUGGGCUUAAAGCGUGUGUAGGCGGAUUGGUAAGUACCUUGUGAAAUCCCACGGCUUAACCGUGGAACUGCUUGGUAUACUGCUUAUCUUGGGCCACUUAGGGGCUACCGGAACAAACGGUGGAGCGGUGAAAUGCGUAGAUAUCGUUUGGAACGCCAAUGGUGAAAACAGGUACUGGGAGUGUGCCGACGCUGAGACACGAAAGCCAGGGGGAGCGAACGGG
This 253-nucleotide ribosomal RNA is filed under the name uncultured bacterium. Its description in RNAcentral is "partial 16S ribosomal RNA". It matches the Rfam family "Bacterial small subunit ribosomal RNA", at positions 524 to 776 of the family's 1533-position model. The record is from RNAcentral.